This 332-nucleotide long non-coding RNA is filed under the name Anser brachyrhynchus (Pink-footed goose). RNAcentral describes it as "lncRNA (ENSABRG00000002260.1)". The record is from RNAcentral. Lineage: Eukaryota; Metazoa; Chordata; Aves; Anseriformes; Anatidae.
CCAGAUUCAGUAAAGAAUGCACUGCAGUUUACACCAAAAACUGGAAGAAGUCUCUAACUUGAGGAAAACUUGCAUUUCCAUUUGGACAGAUUCUGACUUGCAGGAGAAAGUAAUUUCACUGCACUUGGGAAGCUCAGGAAUCAUCAAGAAGCAAGUCUGACUAUGGAAAGGUGUGAUGCUCCCUUUCUCAGUCUCCCUGGGCAAAAAGACAAGCUAUAAGAGUGAAACAUCUUCUCAACGUGGGUAAAGAUAGGACACCAGCAGGAAUCCCUGCUUUUGCCACCACUUGCAGGUGAGAACCUAGCGCGCUAACAAAACAGUCACCUUCUUUU